RNAcentral lists this ribosomal RNA (481 nucleotides) under uncultured bacterium. Its description in RNAcentral is "partial 16S ribosomal RNA". It matches the Rfam family "Bacterial small subunit ribosomal RNA", at positions 28 to 507 of the family's 1533-position model. The record is from RNAcentral.
GAUGAACGCUGGCGGCGUGCCUAACACAUGCAAGUCGAGCGAAGCACCUACUUUAGCUUUCUUCGGAAUGACGAAGUUUGUGACUGAGCGGCGGACGGGUGAGUAACGCGUGGGCAACCUGCCCUGUACAGGGGGAUAACAGUUAGAAAUGACUGCUAAUACCGCAUAAGCCCACAGCUUCGCAUGAAGCAGUGGGAAAAAAUCCGGUGGUACAGGAUGGGCCCGCGUCUGAUUAGCUAGUUGGUAAGGUAACGGCUUACCAAGGUGACGAUCAGUAGCCGACCUGAGAGGGUGACCGGCCACAUUGGGACUGAGACACGGCCCAAACUCCUACGGGAGGCAGCAGUGGGGAAUAUUGCACAAUGGGGGAAACCCUGAUGCAGCGACGCCGCGUGAGCGAUGAAGUAUUUCGGUAUGUAAAGCUCUAUCAGCAGGGAAGAAAGUGACGGUACCUGACUAAGAAGCCCCGGCUAACUACGUG